RNA transcript from Saccostrea cuccullata (small rock oyster), 744 nucleotides. RefSeq lists it as uncharacterized. The transcript has 5 exons. The record is from RefSeq and is a predicted model, not a curated record. Lineage: Eukaryota; Metazoa; Mollusca; Bivalvia; Ostreida; Ostreidae.
AAAACUUUCUCCAUUUUAAAAAUAAUUUUAUAUGAUAAAUGUAUUAUAUAAGGUUUUACGUUGCACUUUAGCAGAUAUAGGUGAGCGAAAAAGGAAACGUAUACAUAUUAUUACUUCACACGGUGCACUAAAAUGGUCAACCUUUCAAUUCUUGGGUGCAUUCGACCCUUCCUUUUCCAAAGAUUACUUUGUAUGAAAUAUAUAACAGACGUCAGUAAAACCAACAUAUAAUUUUGUUUACACUGCAAAUAAAACUAUUGAUGGAAGAUUGGGUUACAACUUUUUUCAUCAUAUUAAUCGUUUUCAUCAUUGUGGUACAUGGAAUACUUUUAAUAAUCAUCAGAGUUUGUUGUAAAAAGAAUUGUUGCGACAGAGGAUUGCAGACAAGGUCCUACCGAAGUAAUAGUACAUUGUCAGGAUAUCAUGCAUCUAGACAUAGAGGGAUCCACUUCACGACGCAAACAUCGUUAGAUACUGCUAUGCACAGAUCAUCAUCUACAGAAAAUUUUGACCUAAAUAGCUUUAGAGAAGAACCCAGAAAUGCACCGAUAUCCACUCCACAUUCUGAAAAUACAGAUCAGGGGGAAUGUCAUAUUGUAACUGCUGAUUUAACUGAAUCCUCAAAUUUCUUAGUUGAUGGUUUUAAAUUUGAAGAUUGUCCAAAUGUGCCCCCUCCUUCAUAUAGCAGUUUGUUUGAAUAGUAACACAUGUUCUGUUAAUUUAAAAGUGUGUACAUCUUGUUUU